RNAcentral lists this small RNA (752 nucleotides) under Histoplasma capsulatum var. duboisii H88. Its description in RNAcentral is "Histoplasma capsulatum H88 hypothetical RNA". Lineage: Eukaryota; Fungi; Ascomycota; Eurotiomycetes; Onygenales; Ajellomycetaceae. The record is from RNAcentral.
CCUUUGAUAUUAUCUUUCAAUUGGACCCUCAUCUUCAUUCGCUGGCGGCUCUCUCUCCUAGCUUCGGUACUGAGAUAAACCUUGCAAAUGUCUACCAUCUUCAAAAAUGUCGUUGUUGCUUCGGCAGGCGGGGUAGUAGGGUCUGCCAUUGUAUCCGCGCUGUUAAAGUCCCCGCACGGAUAUUCUGUGUCAACUCUCUCCCGGGAGGGAUCCAGCUACAGCCCACCAGCAGGCGUCACAGGCCUCAAAAGUGAUUACACGCACGGUUCCCUCGUUCAAGCGCUAAAGGGCCAGGAUGUGGUUGUAUCGGCCAUUGCAGGCGCCGCCGUACCCGAGCAGACCAAGGUAAUUGAUGCUGCAAUCGAGGCAGGAGUAAAGAGGUUCAUUCCGAGCGAUUUUGGCAGCGAAACGCGGAAUAAGAACUCGCAUUCGCGCGUGCCUUUUUUCGUGCUGAAGGACCAGGUCCAAAAAUACCUCCUGGAGAAGCAGGAAAAGAUCGAGUGGACGAUUUUCCUUUCUGGACCCUUUUUAGAUGAAACCCUGAAAACAGACUUCCUCGGCUUCGACAUCGCCAACAAAACUACAACCUUCUGGGACGAGAGGUACAAAAACGUUCCCUUCUCAACCUCGCGCCUCCCCCUCCUCGCUGACGCAAUCUCACAAUCCCUCGCUCCCACCAUCUCUCCAAACACAGCCAACCGUGUCCUCGCUAUCCGCGACUUCACCGUGACCUUCGCGGAGAUACUCAACGC